AAACUGCGAUAAGUAGUGUGAAUUGCAUUUAGUGAAUCAUCGAAUCUUUGAACGCACCUUGCACUCACUGGUAUUCCGGUGAGUACGCCUGUCUCAGAGUCGCUAGAAACACACAAUCAAAACUUUUUUGGUUUAUGAUUGGGCUUGGGCUUAUAACAGUUUGGUUCAUUCAUUUGGAUCAAGCGGCCUGGAAUGCAUUGUCUGGCUAAUUGCAUUUUGGAUGAUCGCUAUUAGACUUUGGCUCUUUGAAAUGAACUGGAGGUUGAUUAACCAGUUUUAGCUUUAGUCGAAUGGUCAUUGUAAGUCAAUCUUAGUCCAGCGGCUAGAAGUAGCCGAAAACAAUCAUUAAUUCAUAUUCAGACCUGAAACAGGUGGGACUACCCGCUGAACUUAA
This 394-nucleotide unclassified non-coding RNA is filed under the name uncultured fungus. RNAcentral describes it as "sequence contains ITS1". The stretch from base 1 to 102 matches the Rfam family "5.8S ribosomal RNA", at positions 50 to 154 of the family's 154-position model. Lineage: Eukaryota; Fungi. The record is from RNAcentral.